RNAcentral lists this ribosomal RNA (402 nucleotides) under uncultured bacterium. Its description in RNAcentral is "bacterial SSU rRNA". It matches the Rfam family "Bacterial small subunit ribosomal RNA", at positions 355 to 774 of the family's 1533-position model. The record is from RNAcentral. RNAcentral also lists the same sequence under 1 other name.
UGGGGAAUAUUGGACAAUGGGCGAAAGCCUGAUCCAGCCAUGCCGCGUGAGUGAUGAAGGCCCUAGGGUUGUAAAGCUCUUUCAACGGUGAAGAUAAUGACGGUAACCGUAGAAGAAGCCCCGGCUAACUUCGUGCCAGCAGCCGCGGUAAUACGAAGGGGGCUAGCGUUGUUCGGAAUUACUGGGCGUAAAGCGCACGUAGGCGGACUAUUAAGUCAGGGGUGAAAUCCCGGGGCUCAACCCCGGAACUGCCUUUGAUACUGGUAGUCUCGAGUCCGGAAGAGGUGAGUGGAAUUCCGAGUGUAGAGGUGAAAUUCGUAGAUAUUCGGAGGAACACCAGUGGCGAAGGCGGCUCACUGGUCCGGUACUGACGCUGAGGUGCGAAAGCGUGGGGAGCAAACA